Molecule: ribosomal RNA, 440 nt
Filed under: uncultured bacterium
Lineage: Bacteria
Description: bacterial SSU rRNA
Rfam family: Bacterial small subunit ribosomal RNA
Source: RNAcentral
CCUACGGGAGGCUGCAGUAACGAAUCUUCCGCAAUGCACGAAAGUGUGACGGAGCGACGCCGCGUGUGGGACGAAGCCCUUCGGGGUGUAAACCACUGUCAGGGGUUAGAAAGUUCUGAUCAACCCCAGAGGAAGGCACGGCUAACUCUGUGCCAGCAGCCGCGGUAAGACAGAGGUGCCGAGCGUUAGGCGGAAUCACUGGGCUUAAAGCGUGUGUAGGCGGAGUUCUAAGUACCUUGUGAAAUCCCACGGCUCAACCGUGGAACUGCUUGGUAUACUGGUUCUCUUGAGCCACCUAGGGGCAACCGGAACAAACGGUGGAGCGGUGAAAUGCGUAGAUAUCGUUUGGAACGCCAAUGGUGAAAACAGGUUGCUGGGGGUGUGCUGACGCUGAGACACGAAAGCCAGGGGAGCGAACGGGAUUAGAUACCCCUGUAGUC